GGAGCAGUAUCGAAGUGGUCAUAACGAGCCUGACUCGAAAUCAGGUAGUCCGAAAGGGCCCGUGGGUUCGAAUCCCACCUGCUCCGCCA
Molecule: transfer RNA, 89 nt
Filed under: Clostridium sp. CAG:343
Lineage: Bacteria; Bacillati; Bacillota; Clostridia; Eubacteriales; Clostridiaceae
Also listed under: 2 other names
Description: transfer RNA-Ser(CGA)
Rfam family: tRNA
About the family: Transfer RNA (tRNA) molecules are approximately 80 nucleotides in length. Their secondary structure includes four short double-helical elements and three loops (D, anti-codon, and T loops). Further hydrogen bonds mediate the characteristic L-shaped molecular structure. tRNAs have two regions of fundamental functional importance: the anti-codon, which is responsible for specific mRNA codon recognition, and the 3' end, to which the tRNAs corresponding amino acid is attached (by aminoacyl-tRNA synthetases). tRNAs cope with the degeneracy of the genetic code in two manners: having more than one tRNA (with a specific anti-codon) for a particular amino acid; and 'wobble' base-pairing, i.e. permitting non-standard base-pairing at the 3rd anti-codon position.
Source: RNAcentral